This 68-nucleotide transfer RNA is filed under the name Marmota marmota marmota (Alpine marmot). It matches the Rfam family "tRNA". From Rfam's summary of the family: Transfer RNA (tRNA) molecules are approximately 80 nucleotides in length. Their secondary structure includes four short double-helical elements and three loops (D, anti-codon, and T loops). RNAcentral also lists the same sequence under 3 other names. Lineage: Eukaryota; Metazoa; Chordata; Mammalia; Rodentia; Sciuridae. The record is from Rfam by way of RNAcentral.
GUGGUGGCUCAGUGGUAGAGCACUUGCCUAACAUGUGUGAGGCACUGGGUUCCAUUCUCAGUACCACA